This is a long non-coding RNA of Solenopsis invicta (red fire ant), 939 nucleotides long. RefSeq lists it as uncharacterized. NCBI's taxonomy places the organism in Eukaryota, Metazoa, Arthropoda, Insecta, Hymenoptera, Formicidae. The transcript is spliced from 2 exons. The record is from RefSeq and is a predicted model, not a curated record.
UCAGUAUCUUUUAUCUAGCGGCGGUCAAAUUAUAAUGACUGUUUAUACGACCUCUCACAUGGCACUCCCGUGACAUUGAAAUUAGCGUCGCGUCGAUCCGCGUGCAAUCCGUGCGAGCUCUUUUAAAGAUACUUUACGAGACCACUUAGGAGAAGUGGAGAUUUUGAAAAGUUAUCAAGCCGGACAUAAAAUUGCGAUAGUACCGUCUUGAAUCUCUCUCUCUUAUCGCGACUCGCUUUACUCAGAUUACCACCUUCAUGACUUUGCACUGAUACAUUCGAUUCAGCGUAACGGAUACAGCAAGAAGAAGAGGGCAAGAAGAAGAGUAAACCAGUUGCAUGUAUAUAAAAUCUAUCUAAACCGUGACACACGUACGUACGUGUGCGAUAAGUCCCGGUGUAAUCAAACGCGAAUUGAUACCUCCCCAAUACCGGGCGAAAAUGGACCGGUUCGCUCAUUAUCAGCCCGGAACGAUAGUCGAGUGCAACUGCAUUCGCUUUAGUGUUUUUCCACGAUCCGGCACGGCCUCGUCACACGACGGGAUCUCGCGUGGGUGAUCUAGGAGCUAGUACAAAACACGCGGAUGCGGCAGACACGCGGCAGACACGUGCGAUGAGAUGACGCAGGUGGCAUGACUGCUCAUCGGCCGCCUCGACAAAUCUUCGAUAAGCGUUGGACAUUGGAAUGUACAAUAGAAUCAGCUUGACCUCUUAACCAAACGUUCACGUUGAACGUCUACGAGUCGAAAUGUAAUUGUCGAAGAAUCGUGCGAUUUCUGAUCCGAUUACGAAAGCCCAAAAGUAUCUUCGAAGACGAGGCACGAAACUGAGAAGCGUGUAUCGUAGGAAUAACGCUCCCCAGCUUGAAUUAAAAUCGAAUUUCCUUCGAUUUUCUUGUAUGGACGUACGCUAAAACAAAAUAAAUGGUUUUUCAUCAUCA